This 1515-nucleotide long non-coding RNA is filed under the name Brassica rapa (field mustard). Its description in RNAcentral is "long non-coding RNA (BRAP_LNC007259)". Lineage: Eukaryota; Viridiplantae; Streptophyta; Magnoliopsida; Brassicales; Brassicaceae. The record is from RNAcentral.
CCUGGUUCAGAUCCGGGUUUAUGGAGUAGAUCUGUGUUGUUCCCGGUGAGGGUAGUGACGCUAGAGGACGGCGUUUGCUCUUUGCUGUGGCUACUUCCAGUUUUGCUCCGGCGACUUUGUCUAGGAGAUUUUUUUUUUUAGAUCUCGUUAAGCUUUUCGGUUUGGCGGCGCGUGGUUCGUCGGGGAGGCCUCUUGGUCUCAGAUCUGGGUUGCUUGCAACUCUGGUGAUUCUCUCUGUCUUUGUCUCCUCCGGUGGUCUUCGGGGGAAGUGCGUGGAGUCCUUGAGUGGGUGAGUCUCUCUCCUGCUUUGAGGUUGCUCCGGUGGCAGCGCGUGGUGUUGCUUUGGCCAUCGUCUCGUUACUGGUGGUUUGCUCGCCUCAAAGUUAGAGGUUCCGUCGUUGUGGCGUCCACCGUCGCCAAGCUUCUCUCCUUGUGCUAAUUCCAGCGUGCUACUAGCUGAAGGCAGGGCUUCGAAGUAGGUUCCGAUGGAGGUAGGUUUUCAGUUAAGCUCUCGGUCUUCUCUCUAACUCGGUUGUGGCUGCUCCAAAGGUGGUGUGCUGUUCGGUCCGCUUGCUCUAUAUGGGCUCUCGGUUCAACGGGUGUAUACGGUCCCGGUGAGGGCCUUGAAGGCGGCAAUCUUCGAGUCUUAAACCGUACGACGGCAUCGUCGGAUAGUCCCACUGCCUCGUGCCGCUGGUGUAUGUCAAUGUCAGGUUGGUUUGUGAGUUCGUGCUUGUGAUUCUUGGAGUGGUUCGCGAUUCGCUGGCUUGCCGGAAGCUGUAGGUACCCUGCUUCAAGGUUUGAGCCGCCUUUCUCUCGGACUCGUGGCAACUGGCUUGCUCCUGCGGUUCCCUGGUCUGAGCUUUGCUUCGCUGGUCUCCGUCUCCAAACGUCUUUGUUUCUCGUCUCUGUUUAAGCUAGUGUUGUUGUGAUUGGCAUUGAUGUUUAGUUUAAUUUCAGUAAUUCUGCUUCUAGUUAAUCUAUUGUAAUGUCUGUCAAAAACUAAAAAUUGGUAUAAUAAAUUUAACAUUUUACCAAAAAAAAAAAAAAAAAAAAAAAAAACAUCCAUGGAUGUUUAUACUCUUAAAAACAUUAUGUCGAAUCACUUGACACAUGCAUAGAGUUUUAAGUUUUAACUAAUAAACGCUUUUUAGCCACGAUAAACUUCAAGUUAAGUACCAUCACGUUGUUUGACAAAAAAAAAAAAGUACCAUCACGUUUUCUAACAGUUUUGUUGAGUAGGUUCAAUAUAACGGUCAACAUAUUGCACUUUUAUUAUUAUAGGAUCGCAUCUUAAAUUAUAUAUUUUGAAAUGUACAUAUGUAUAGACAUAUAGUAUAUGGUUUAAAUUUUCAAAUGGAUCAGCGUAUAAUUAAUGAAAUAUAGUAGUAUCAUCAAGUUGUGUAGACAACUAGUAUGUCUAUUUAUAAUACUAUAAUGUAUAUGUACUCGAAAGAUAAUUUAAUAAGGGGUGGAGGGUGGGGGCUAUUGUCUGUGGAUAAGCUAUAUAUGGUG